This 301-nucleotide ribosomal RNA is filed under the name uncultured bacterium. RNAcentral's name for it is "partial 16S ribosomal RNA". It matches the Rfam family "Bacterial small subunit ribosomal RNA", at positions 509 to 809 of the family's 1533-position model. The record is from RNAcentral.
CAGCCGCCGCGGGAAUACAGAGGGUGCGAGCGUUAAUCGGAUUUACUGGGCGUAAAGCGUGCGUAGGCGGCUUCUUAAGUCGGAUGUGAAAUCCCUGAGCUUAACUUGGGAAUUGCAUUCGAUACUGGUUAGCUAGAGUGUGGGAGAGGAUGGUAGAAUUCCAGGUGUAGCGGUGAAAUGCGUAGAGAUCUGGAGGAAUACCGAUGGCGAAGGCAGCCAUCUGGCCUAACACUGACGCUGAGGUACGAAAGCAUGGGGAGCAAACAGGAUUAGAUACCCCCGUAGUCCCUGUCUCUUAUAA